Molecule: ribosomal RNA, 200 nt
Filed under: uncultured bacterium
Lineage: Bacteria
Description: partial 16S ribosomal RNA
Rfam family: Bacterial small subunit ribosomal RNA
Source: RNAcentral
UACGAAGGGUGCUAGCGUUGUUCGGAAUCAUUGGGCGUAAAGGGUGCGUAGGCGGUUUAGUAAGUCAGUUGUGAAAGCCCAGGGCUCAACCCUGGAACUGCAAUUGAAACUGCUCGACUAGAAUUUGGUGGGGGAUAAUAGAAUUCCUAGUGUAGGGGUGAAAUCCGUAGAUAUUAGGAGGAAUACCAGCGGCGAAGGCG